RNAcentral lists this ribosomal RNA (402 nucleotides) under Verrucomicrobiota bacterium. RNAcentral describes it as "Verrucomicrobia bacterium partial 16S ribosomal RNA". It matches the Rfam family "Bacterial small subunit ribosomal RNA", at positions 355 to 776 of the family's 1533-position model. The record is from RNAcentral. Lineage: Bacteria; Pseudomonadati; Verrucomicrobiota.
UGGGAAAUUUUGCACAAUGGGGGCAACCCUGAUGCAGCGACGCCGCGUGAUUUAGAAGGCCUUCGGGUUGUAAAAAUCUUUUCUAUGGGAAGAAAAUGACAGUACCAUAGGAAUAAGGACUGGCUAAUUACGUGCCAGCAGCCGCGGUAAUACGUAAGGUCCGAGCGUUGUCCGGAAUCAUUGGGCGUAAAGGGUACGUAGGCGGGUAAGCAAGUUAGAAGUGAAAUCCUGUAGCUCAACUACAGUAAGCUUUUAAAACUGCUCAUCUUGAGAUAUGGAAGGGAAAGUGGAAUUCCUAGUGUAGCGGUGAAAUGCGCAGAUAUUAGGAGGAAUACCGGUGGCGAAGGCGACUUUCUGGCCAUAAUCUGACGCUGAGGUACGAAAGCGUGGGUAGCAAACAGG